This 484-nucleotide ribosomal RNA is filed under the name uncultured bacterium. RNAcentral describes it as "partial 16S ribosomal RNA". It matches the Rfam family "Bacterial small subunit ribosomal RNA", at positions 30 to 507 of the family's 1533-position model. The record is from RNAcentral.
AUUGAACGCUGGCGGCAGGCCUAACACAUGCAAGUCGAGCGGAUGAAGGGAGCUUGCUCCUGGAUUCAGCGGCGGACGGGUGAGUAAUGCCUAGAAAUCUGCCUGGUAGUGGGGGAUAACGUCCGGAAACGGGCGCUAAUACCGCAUACGUCCUGAAGGAGAAAGUGGGGGAUCUUCGGACCUCACGCUAUCAGAUGAGCCUAGGUCGGAUUAGCUAGUUGGUGGGGUAAAGGCCUACCAAGGCGACGAUCCGUAACUGGUCUGAGAGGAUGAUCAGUCACACUGGAACUGAGACACGGUCCAGACUCCUACGGGAGGCAGCAGUGGGGAAUAUUGGACAAUGGGCGAAAGCCUGAUCCAGCCAUGCCGCGUGUGUGAAGAAGGUCUUCGGAUUGUAAAGCACUUUAAGUUGGGAGGAAGGGCAGUAAGUUAAUACCUUGCUGUUUUGACGUUACCAACAGAAUAAGCACCGGCUAACUUCGUG